Molecule: non-coding RNA, 105 nt
Filed under: Otolemur garnettii (small-eared galago)
Lineage: Eukaryota; Metazoa; Chordata; Mammalia; Primates; Galagidae
Source: RNAcentral
AGCUGGUCUAAUGGUAGUAGGUUAUCAGAACUUAUUAACAUUAGUGUCACUAAAGUUGAUACAGAACUCCCCCACACCCACACUGCUAAAUUUGAUGGGCUUUUU